RNAcentral lists this ribosomal RNA (253 nucleotides) under uncultured bacterium. RNAcentral describes it as "partial 16S ribosomal RNA". It matches the Rfam family "Bacterial small subunit ribosomal RNA", at positions 524 to 776 of the family's 1533-position model. The record is from RNAcentral.
UACGUAGGGGGCAAGCGUUAUCCGGAUUUACUGGGUGUAAAGGGAGCGUAGACGGCAGAGCAAGUCUGAAGUGAAAGCCCGCGGCCCAACUGCGGGACUGCCUUGGAAACUGCCCGGCUAGAGUGCUGGAGAGGUAAGCGGAAUUCCUAGUGUAGCGGUGAAAUGCGUAGAUAUUAGGAGGAACACCAGUGGCGAAGGCGGCUUACUGGACAGUAACUGACGUUGAGGCUCGAAAGCGUGGGGAGCAAACAGG